This 387-nucleotide ribosomal RNA is filed under the name Cyanea capillata. RNAcentral's name for it is "partial large subunit ribosomal RNA". It matches the Rfam family "Eukaryotic large subunit ribosomal RNA", at positions 25 to 407 of the family's 3401-position model. The record is from RNAcentral. Lineage: Eukaryota; Metazoa; Cnidaria; Scyphozoa; Semaeostomeae; Cyaneidae.
CCGCUGAAUUUAAGCAUAUUAAUAAGCGGAGGAAAAGAAACUAACAAGGAUUCCCCCAGUAACGGCGAGUGAAGUGGGAACAGCUCAAGCUUGAAAUCUCUGUUGCUUGCAACAGCGAAUUGUAGUCUCGAGAAGCGUUUUCCAGACGGACCUUCCCUGCCUAAGUUGCUUGGAACAGCACAUCAGAGAGGGUGACAAUCCCGUUCGUGGCAGGGCGGGCCGUUCACGAUACGCUUUCCAUGAGUCGGGUUGCUUGGGAAUGCAGCCCAAAAUUGGUGGUAAACUCCAUCUAAAGCUAAAUAUUGGCACGAGACCGAUAGCGAACAAGUACCGUGAGGGAAAGAUGAAAAGAACUUUGAAGAGAGAGUUCAGUCAUAGCUGUUUCCU